This 1083-nucleotide long non-coding RNA is filed under the name Bos taurus (domestic cattle). RNAcentral describes it as "long non-coding RNA NONBTAT016574". Lineage: Eukaryota; Metazoa; Chordata; Mammalia; Artiodactyla; Bovidae. The record is from RNAcentral.
UAAGUCUGAUUCUUAUAUUAUCUGUUGGGUGUUUUUAUUAUGUCCCUUACUGUUUCUUGUCAUUAUUAUAAUAACUGAUCAAUGCCAUCAUGUCCGAAUUUCAUCCUAAAUAAAUGUUACUUUUAUGUUAUUACAUAUUUUUUUAAUUAGAUACUGCUACAGCAGAGUUUAAAGGAUUAUUAUCUACUUGAAAAUGCAAGAAGCAAACAUUUCAGAGGGCGGAAGCAAACCUGAAAUCAGAACUCGUAGAAAUGAAGGAAAAGGUGAAAUACUAAAUGUUUUUUUAAUUUAUUAGAAAUUUGUCUCAUUUUUGAAUAAUGUAUGACUCCUGGGAUCUAGAUAACUUAAAAAUGAACAGCAACAUAUUCCCUUUGGUUUUGGACUGUGAACUUAUUUUCAGAAAGUGAAUAUUCUUUGAGAUUUAUCUUAGGGCCAUUAGAAUCAUUAAUAGAUCUCCAUUACUUACCAGGUUUUUAAUUACACUGAAAUAAUUUUGAAACACAAGUAGAAAUUAAGCUACUGUACAAUAUGAUGGUUUACAUUGUACUUUUAACUUUUAAAAGUACUUAAUUAGCAUUAUUGUUUGAAUCAUAUAAAGUUUUUUUUUAAGUUUUUGUUCAUUUACCAAGGUCAACAGAAUAUCUGGUAUUCUUUUAUGUGUACAGUGAAGAAAUUUAAAAUGUAGAUCUUUUUUUCUCAAAAAGUCAUACAUUGAUGGUGGAAACAGUGGUAGUUCUUGUAGCAGUAGUCACUGUUAUUGCCAUUAUUGUUUUAAACACGGUGCAGCUCCGACAGCAGAUGGUACAUGUUAAUAACACUAAUAAAAUUAGUAUCUUAUGGCACUGUAACUUAUUGCAUAUUGUUAUUAUAUGUCUGUAGUGUCAAAAUGAAUACUAUAAAGACUAAUAUAAAAUGGUUUAGAAGACUGAUGUAUAUAUUAGGUAGAAGUUAAUGUUUUGUUUCUUGUGAAAGGACCACAUGGAAUAGUGAGCCCAACAGGCAGUAAUGAUGUAAUUUAUCUUCUUUUCUAGAAUGUAUUAAAUAUAAAUUGCACACACUCCAACUAUUACCUUGCUUUGCACA